RNAcentral lists this ribosomal RNA (262 nucleotides) under uncultured bacterium. Its description in RNAcentral is "partial 16S ribosomal RNA". It matches the Rfam family "Bacterial small subunit ribosomal RNA", at positions 508 to 769 of the family's 1533-position model. The record is from RNAcentral.
CCAGCAGCCGCGGUCAUACGGAGGAUCCAAGCGUUAUCCGGAAUUACUGGGCGUAAAGCGUACGUAGGCGGCUUUGUAAGUUAGAGGUGAAAGCCCGGGGCUCAACCCCGGAAUUGCCUUUAAGACUGCAUCGCUUGAACGUCGGAGAGGUGAGUGGAAUUCCGAGUGUAGAGGUGAAAUUCGUAGAUAUUCGGAAGAACACCAGUGGCGAAGGCGGCUCACUGGACGACUGUUGACGCUGAGGUACGAAAGCGUGGGGAGC